GAUGAACGCUGGCGGCGUGCCUAAUACAUGCAAGUCGAGCGAACAGACGAGGAGCUUGCUCCUCUGACGUUAGCGGCGGACGGGUGAGUAACACGUGGAUAACCUACCUAUAAGACUGGGAUAACUUCGGGAAACCGGAGCUAAUACCGGAUAAUAUAUUGAACCGCAUGGUUCAAUAGUGAAAGACGGUUUUGCUGUCACUUAUAGCUGGAUACGGGCCGCAUUAGCUAGUUGGUAAGGUAACGGCUUACCAAGGCAACGAGUGGUAGCCGACGUGAGAGGGUGAUCGGCCACACUGGAACUGAGACAGGGUCCAGAGGCCUGCGGGAGGCAGCAGUAGGGAAUCUUCCGCAAAGGGCGAAAGCCUGACGGAGCAACGCCGCGUGAGUGAUGAAGGUCUUCGGAUCGUAAAACUCUGUUAUUAGGUAAGAACAAAUGUGUAAGUAACUAUGCACGUCUUGACGGUACCUAAUCAGAAAGCCACGGCUAACUACGUG
Molecule: ribosomal RNA, 497 nt
Filed under: uncultured bacterium
Lineage: Bacteria
Description: partial 16S ribosomal RNA
Rfam family: Bacterial small subunit ribosomal RNA
Source: RNAcentral